AUUCUCAGGUUUCUCUUCAAAACGUAAAAAUCUUCAACCUUUUACUAAAGAUUUCAAUGCAGAGGAAUGUCAUGAGAAACCUUUUUUUUUUUUUUUUGACCCAGAGCACGGCACAA
RNAcentral lists this small nuclear RNA (116 nucleotides) under Malurus cyaneus samueli. RNAcentral's name for it is "U5 spliceosomal RNA (ENSMCSG00000005689.1)". It matches the Rfam family "U5 spliceosomal RNA". Rfam says of the family: U5 RNA is a component of both types of known spliceosome. The precise function of this molecule is unknown, though it is known that the 5' loop is required for splice site selection and p220 binding, and that both the 3' stem-loop and the Sm site are important for Sm protein binding and cap methylation. The record is from Rfam by way of RNAcentral. Lineage: Eukaryota; Metazoa; Chordata; Aves; Passeriformes; Maluridae.